AUACGGAGGGUGCAAGCGUUACUCGGAAUCACUGGGCGUAAAGCGCGCGCAGGCGGGCUGAUAAGUUGGAUGUGAAAGCCUACGGCUCAACCGUAGAACUGCAUCCAAAACUGUCAGUCUAGAGUCUGGGAGGGGAAGAUGGAAUUAGUUGUGUAGGGGUAAAAUCCGUAGAGAUAACUAGGAAUACCAAAAGCGAAGGCGAUCUUCUGGAACAGUACUGACGCUGAGGCGCGAAAGCGUGGGUAGCGAACGGGAUUAGAAACCCUGGUAGUCC
This 274-nucleotide ribosomal RNA is filed under the name uncultured bacterium. RNAcentral describes it as "partial 16S ribosomal RNA". It matches the Rfam family "Bacterial small subunit ribosomal RNA", at positions 523 to 796 of the family's 1533-position model. The record is from RNAcentral.